CUGGCGGCAGGCCUAAUACAUGCAAGUCGAGCGCGCCCUUCGGGGUGAGCGGCGGACGGGUGAGUAACGCGUGGGAAUAUGCCCUUCUCUAAGGAAUAGCCUCUGGAAACGGAGAGUAAUACCUUAUACGCCCUUUGGGGGAAAGAUUUAUCGGAGAAGGAUUAGCCCGCGUUAGAUUAGGUAGUUGGUGGGGUAAUGGCCUACCAAGCCUACGAUCUAUAGCUGGUUUGAGAGGAUGAUCAGCCACACUGGGACUGAGACACGGCCCAGACUCCUACGGGAGGCAGCAGUAGGGAAUCUUAGACAAUGGGGGCAACCCUGAUCUAGCCAUGCCGCGUGUGUGAUGAAGGCCCUAGGGUCGUAAAGCACUUUCGCCAGAGAUGAUAAUGACAGUAUCUGGUAAAGAAACCCCGGCUAACUCCGUGCCAGCAGCCGCGGUAAUACGGAGGGGGUUAGCGUUGUUCGGAAUUACUGGGCGUAAAGCGCACGUAGGCGGAUUAGUAAGUUAGAGGUGAAAUCCCAGGGCUCAACCCUGGAACUGCCUUUAAUACUGCUAGUCUUGAGUUCGAGAGAGGUAAGUGGAAUUCCGAGUGUAGAGGUGAAAUUCGUAGAUAUUCGGAGGAACACCAGUGGCGAAGGCGGCUUACUGGCUCGAUACUGACGCUGAGGUGCGAAAGUGUGGGGAGCAAACAGGAUUAGAUACCCUGGUAGUCCACACCGUAAACGAUGAAUGCCAGACGUCAGCAAGUAUACUUGUUGGUGUCACACCUAACGGAUUAAGCAUUCCGCCUGGGGAGUACGGUCGCAAGAUUAAAACUCAAAGGAAUUGACGGGGCCCGCACAAGCGGUGGAGCAUGUGGUUUAA
This 865-nucleotide ribosomal RNA is filed under the name uncultured marine bacterium. RNAcentral's name for it is "bacterial SSU rRNA". It matches the Rfam family "Bacterial small subunit ribosomal RNA", at positions 36 to 949 of the family's 1533-position model. The record is from RNAcentral.